RNAcentral lists this ribosomal RNA (427 nucleotides) under uncultured bacterium. RNAcentral describes it as "bacterial SSU rRNA". It matches the Rfam family "Bacterial small subunit ribosomal RNA", at positions 835 to 1260 of the family's 1533-position model. The record is from RNAcentral.
GACNUUUAGUGGCGCAGCUAAACGCGAUAAAGUAGACCGCCUGGGGAGUACGGUCGCAAGACUAAAACUCAAAUGAAUUGACGGGGGCCCGCACAAGCGGUGGAGCAUGUGGUUUAAUUCGAUGCAACGCGAAGAACCUUACCUGGCCUUGACAUACUAGAAACUUUCCAGAGAUGGAUUGGUGCCUUCGGGAAUCUAGAUACAGGUGCUGCAUGGCUGUCGUCAGCUCGUGUCGUGAGAUGUUGGGUUAAGUCCCGCAACGAGCGCAACCCUUUUCCUUACUUGCCAGCAUUUCGGAUGGGAACUUUAAGGAUACUGCCAGUGACAAACUGGAGGAAGGCGGGGACGACGUCAAGUCAUCAUGGCCCUUACGGCCAGGGCUACACACGUGCUACAAUGGUCGGUACAAAGGGUUGCUACACAGCGA